Molecule: ribosomal RNA, 300 nt
Filed under: Bacillus sp. (in: firmicutes)
Lineage: Bacteria; Bacillati; Bacillota; Bacilli; Caryophanales; Bacillaceae
Description: bacterial SSU rRNA
Rfam family: Bacterial small subunit ribosomal RNA
Source: RNAcentral
GCAGCCGCGGUAAUACGUAGGUGGCAAGCGUUGUCCGGAAUUAUUGGGCGUAAAGGGCUCGCAGGCGGUUUCUUAAGUCUGAUGUGAAAGCCCCCGGCUCAACCGGGGAGGGUCAUUGGAAACUGGGGAAACUUGAGUGCAGAAAAGGAGAGUGGAAUUCCACGUGUAGCGGUGAAAUGCGUAGAGAUGUGGAGGAACACCAGUGGCGAAGGCGACUCUCUGGUCUGUAACUGACGCUUAGGAGCGAAAGCGUGGGGAGCGAACAGGGAUUAGAUACCCCGGGUAGUCCACGCCCGUAAA